Molecule: non-coding RNA, 65 nt
Filed under: Skeletonema costatum
Lineage: Eukaryota; Bacillariophyta; Thalassiosirophyceae; Thalassiosirales; Thalassiosiraceae
Source: RNAcentral
AAAAAAAAAGAAAAAAAAAAUAAAAAAAAAACAAAAAAAAUAAAAAAAAAAGCCAUAUCUUAUGU